AGUGAACGCUGGCGGUAGGCCUAACACAUGCAAGUCGAACGGCAGCACAGUAAGAGCUUGCUCUUACGGGUGGCGAGUGGCGGACGGGUGAGGAAUACAUCGGAAUCUACUUUUUCGUGGGAGAUAACGUAGGGAAACUUACGCUAAUACCGCAUACGACCUACGGGUGAAAGCAGGGGAUCUUCGGACCUUGCGCGAUUGAAUGAGCCGAUGUCGGAUUAGCUAGUUGGCGGGGUAAAGGCCCACCAAGGCGACGAUCCGUAGCUGGUCUGAGAGGAUGAUCAGCCACACUGGAACUGAGACACGGUCCAGACUCCUACGGGAGGCAGCAGUGGGGAAUAUUGGACAAUGGGCGCAAGCCUGAUCCAGCCAUACCGCGUGGGUGAAGAAGGCCUUCGGGUUGUAAAGCCCUUUUGUUGGGAAAGAAGAGCAGCAGGUUAAUACCCCGCUGUUCUGACGGUACCCAAAGAAUAAGCACCGGCUAACUUCGUG
This 492-nucleotide ribosomal RNA is filed under the name uncultured bacterium. RNAcentral's name for it is "partial 16S ribosomal RNA". It matches the Rfam family "Bacterial small subunit ribosomal RNA", at positions 29 to 507 of the family's 1533-position model. The record is from RNAcentral.